This 25-nucleotide non-coding RNA is filed under the name Rattus norvegicus (Norway rat). Lineage: Eukaryota; Metazoa; Chordata; Mammalia; Rodentia; Muridae. The record is from RNAcentral.
UAGCGAAGCGUGCACGCCUCCAUUC